Molecule: long non-coding RNA, 891 nt
Filed under: Homo sapiens (human)
Lineage: Eukaryota; Metazoa; Chordata; Mammalia; Primates; Hominidae
Description: novel transcript, antisense to KCNMB2
Source: RNAcentral
AAAACUGAAUGAAGGCUAUGAAAGAAGUCACAGGAGGAUUUUUGCAGAGCUUCCAUCCAGUUCAGAAACAAAGCAAUUCAAUACAUGUCUUCAAGAUUUCUAAAGGCAAUGACUUAAUUCUAAGUUCCAUGAAAGCAGGCAUUGUGUGAAUUUCUCCUGCAUCUGGAACUGGCCUAGCACACCAAGUACAUGUUCCCACCUGAAGAACUUCCUUGAAGAUGUCUUAUAGUGCAGAUCAGAUGCUGGCCAUUUUUAUAUUAUAUGGAUGAGUGUCCAGAUUCAGUUAUAUUCUUUUAACAACUGUUGAAAUUUAUUCUGGCAGAUAGUUAAUUUUAUGUGUCAACUUGACUGGGCCACAGGAUGCUGAGAUACCUGGUUCAACAUUAUUUAUGGAAUCCAAGAAGACUCUAAAACCUCCAGUACUCAUGAAGAGAUGAGUUUGCUCAUUAUCAAUCUCAUUGAUCCUUAGCAUCGGAGCUGAGAGGGAGCCAGGAUGUUCAUCACACUGUGUAAAUGGCCUCUGUGAAGAACUUCCUGGGGAAAAUUCUUCAAAUCAAAGGCAGAGGGUAAGGAAGAAAAUGAGAACUGAAACUGCUCCAAUCCCAGCUAGGAGAGAGGAAGAACUGUAAAGAAACCCCCCAAAUUACAUUGUAGAAUUAUUUUUCCCUAUGGUAUUAGGUUGAUCCCCCUUUCCUGGCCACCAGCAGCCCCUUUCCACACUUCUAGGAGCACCAGGAUCAAUUACCAUUCAUUGUUAUUUCAUGUGCAUAGACAACAGAACUUGCUGCUGUCAUAAAAGUAAAGGAACAGAUUUCUUAAAUUGCUACUUGAAGGAGCUCUUCUAUAUCAGUGCCAUUAAAUUAAAUUUCUGCUCUGUAUAAUGCAUAAAAA